RNAcentral lists this ribosomal RNA (441 nucleotides) under uncultured bacterium. Its description in RNAcentral is "SSU rRNA". It matches the Rfam family "Bacterial small subunit ribosomal RNA", at positions 26 to 518 of the family's 1533-position model. The record is from RNAcentral.
AGAACGAACGCUGGCGGCAUGCCUAACACAUGCAAGUCGAACGAAGCCUUCGGGCUUAGUGGCGCACGGGUGCGUAACGCGUGGGAAUCUGCCCUUGGGUUCGGAAUAACAGUUAGAAAUGACUGCUAAUACCGGAUGAUGUCUUCGGACCAAAGAUUUAUCGCCCAAGGAUGAGCCCGCGUAGGAUUAGGUAGUUGGUGGGGUAAUGGCCCACCAAGCCGACGAUCCUUAGCUGGUCUGAGAGGAUGAUCAGCCACACUGGGACUGAGACACGGCCCAGACUCCUACGGGAGGCAGCAGUGGGGAAUAUUGGACAAUGGGCGAAAGCCUGAUCCAGCAAUGCCGCGUGAGUGAUGAAGGCCUUAGGUGUAAAGCUCUUUACCGGGAUGAUAAUGACAGUACCGGAGAAUAAGCUCCGGCUAACUCCGUGCCAGCAGCCGC